GGAGCUGUGUCACCGUCUGCGCAUCCCUUCUGCGCAUACACAAACUUGAUAAAGUUGGCCCAACCUUUUCAAGUUUGAGAUUCCAAUAUGGCGUCCAUACCAGGCACUACUCAUGGCGGUACAAGACAGAAUACCGGCCGAAAGAAAAUGUUUUCAGAUAAAAAGCAGCGCAGGAAAUCAUGGGGUAAGGCACACAGAAGGAUAUACUUGACAUUGAAUAUAUUCAAAACAUGGUCCGAUGCGAAAAUAAUGGCUG
This is a non-coding RNA of Paramuricea clavata, 256 nucleotides long. Lineage: Eukaryota; Metazoa; Cnidaria; Anthozoa; Malacalcyonacea; Plexauridae. The record is from the annotation of a GenBank genome assembly.